Molecule: ribosomal RNA, 253 nt
Filed under: uncultured bacterium
Lineage: Bacteria
Description: partial 16S ribosomal RNA
Rfam family: Bacterial small subunit ribosomal RNA
Source: RNAcentral
UACAGAGGUCCCGAGCGUUGUUCGGAUUCAUUGGGCGUAAAGGGUGCGUAGGCGGCGGGGAAAGUCUGAUGUGAAAUCCUGGGGCUCAACCCUGGAACUGCAUUGGAUACUUCCUUGCUAGAGUACUGGAGAGGAAACUGGAAUUUACGGUGUAGCAGUGAAAUGCGUAGAUAUCGUAAGGAAGACCAGUGGCGAAGGCGGGUCUCUGGACAGUUCCUGACACUGAGGCACGAAGGCCAGGGGAGCAAACGGG